UGGGGAAUAUUGGACAAUGGGCGCAAGCCUGAUCCAGCCAUGCCGCGUGAGUGACGAAGGUCUUCGGAUUGUAAAGCUCUUUUUGGCGGGGACGAUAAUGACGGUACCCGCAGAAUAAGCCCCGGCUAACUUCGUGCCAGCAGCCGCGGUAAUACGAAGGGAGCUAGCGUUGUUCGGAAUCACUGGGCGUAAAGCGCACGUAGGUGGGCAGUUAAGUCAGGGGUGAAAGCCCGAGGCUCAACCUCGGAAUUGCCUCUGAUACUGGCUGUCUAGAGUUCGAGAGAGGUGAGUGGAAUUCCGAGUGUAGAGGUGAAAUUCGUAGAUAUUAGGAAGAACACCAGUGGCGAAGGCGGCCAACUGGCUCGAUACUGACGCUGAGGUGCGAAAGCGUGGGGAGCAAACAGGAUUAGAUACCCUAGUAGUCCCUGAGCGGGCUGGCAAGGCGCAU
Molecule: ribosomal RNA, 448 nt
Filed under: uncultured bacterium
Lineage: Bacteria
Description: bacterial SSU rRNA
Rfam family: Bacterial small subunit ribosomal RNA
Source: RNAcentral